GAUGAACGCUGGCGGCGUGCCUAAUACAUGCAAGUCGAGCGAGCAGACGAGGAGCUUGCUCCUCUGACGUUAGCGGCGGACGGGUGAGUAACACGUGGAUAACCUACCUAUAAGACUGGGAUAACUUCGGGAAACCGGAGCUAAUACCGGAUAAUAUAUUGAACCGCAUGGUUCAAUAGUGAAAGACGGUUUUGCUGUCACUUAUAGAUGGAUCCGCGCCGCAUUAGCUAGUUGGUAAGGUAACGGCUUACCAAGGCGACGAUGCGUAGCCGACCUGAGAGGGUGAUCGGCCACACUGGAACUGAGACACGGUCCAGACUCCUACGGGAGGCAGCAGUAGGGAAUCUUCCGCAAUGGGCGAAAGCCUGUCGGAGCAACGCCGCGUGAGUGAUGAAGGUCUUCGGAUCGUAAAACUCUGUUAUUAGGGAAGAACAAAUGUGUAAGUAACUAUGCACGUCUUGACGGUACCUAAUCAGAAAGCCACGGCUAACUACGUG
Molecule: ribosomal RNA, 497 nt
Filed under: uncultured bacterium
Lineage: Bacteria
Description: partial 16S ribosomal RNA
Rfam family: Bacterial small subunit ribosomal RNA
Source: RNAcentral